AAUUCAAUUGUUUAGACGAAAAUAAUAAUAUUUCAUUUGUAAUUUAAAAUUUUAAAAUAAAUUAAAUUAAAUUUUUGUCCAAAAAAAGGAUAGAGAUUGAAAUAUUACUAUUUAAUUUAUGAUGUGAAUAAGUAGAUUUUAAGUAAGAUUUUAACAAUUUCAAUUUGUUUCAAAAUAUUUCAAUUUGACUUUUACAAUAAAUAUAAUGAAUUUUUAUUUAUUUUUUUAUCAAUGGAGUUCCUUUUUUAUUGGUAAACAUACAAUAAUAUAAUAGGGGAUUUCCCAAGUGAUUACAAAAAAUGAAAGGUAGUAAAUUUAAAGAUAUUGUAGCAGAUGCCAUUGAAGAGUUAAUAAAUGGGUACAUACUCACGUGAUAUUUUGUGAUUAAUUUAAUAUUAGACAUUAAUUAAAUCUAACAGUUGUUAUUAAUAUGGAGCAUAUCUAAUAAGAACUUUUGUUUACUCUAAUUUAAAAAUUGAGAAUUAUUAAUAGUAAUUGAUAAAUUACAAUUAAGAUUAAAAAAAUCCAACUAAAUAGUAACGUGACUCCUCUCUUUUUAACCUCUAUGAUUUGCGAAUGAACACUACCGUAAGUAAGGUGUUCACUGUCAAAUCGAUAUAAAAUAGAAAUAAAAACUACAAAUCAAUCCAAAAAAAUCGAAAGCUACACAUAAUCGAAUAUUAUUUCAUAUGUUUAGAUCCUCUCUAAUAAAAACCGCACAAAUUGAAUCAGAUUUCGAAUUAAAUUUUUAAAAUCGAACUAACAUGCAUAUAUAUGUAAAUUUUAAUACUUAUUUAUUUUUUUAAGAGUAUUAAGUAUUGAAUAAAUUUAUUAUUUGUUAGUUAUCAUUUUUAUUAAUAAUACUUAUUUGUUUAAUUUCGUUUUAUUUUACUAUUUCAUACAUUUCAAACAUAAUCUAUCAACGUUAUUUCAAAAUGUUAAUUCUUUGUAAACUAUACAUUAUAUUUAACUUUAUAAUAAAAAUAUUCAAUCAAUAUUUUAUAAUUGUAAUUUCCAUAAUUGAAAAUCAAUCUAAUUUAAAUUGAUUAGUUCGAAAAGGAAUUUUUGUUUUAAAUCUUAUCCAAACCGAAUCAAAUGACAAAUAUUUUAUGUUUUGAAUCGGAUGAGUUUUUCCCUCAUCGUAACUAAUUAUAUAUAGAUGUAAUUCAUAUACACUAUCAAUGUAAAGAGUUUUUAUACUAUCAUUUAACCAAAACAAUUAAAUCAUUGUAAAUGUAUGACUUUUAAGUUUUAUCAUCACUUCUUCUAAAAUCAUGUUCUUAAAUAAUUGUGUUGUAGCGAUAAUUUAAAACUUUUUAAACUAAUAAUACCCGAUAAUUAUAAUAUAUAUAUAUAUCUAUAUAUAUAAAGAAUGGAUGCUUCAAUAAUGUUAACUAGUUACGUGAGUUAAUAUAUAAUUCGAAUAUUUAUACAAUCGAAUAUGACUCUACAGUCUCCCAAAAUAAAUCUUCCUCAAGAAAAAACUCCAAAUAAUCAAUUUAAAGGAUAUAUAGUCACUUGAAUUUUACCAAAAAAUAUAUUGUCCGUUGAUGUAAUUUCUUAGCUUGUACUAUUUCAUUGGCCCUUUUGAGACCUUUUAGCCGAUUUUUAUAUCAUGCCAUGUGUGACAAGUAUUAUUUGUUCUGGAGUGGCCCGUACGCAUGGAUAAUCAAUUCGUUAAUUAUGAAUUGGCGUCCGAAGAUUUCACGGGAAUAGGAGAGAUGCAAGUAAGAUUGGUUAAUUAGAUUUAAUUAAUUAGAAUGAUACGAAAACCCUAUAAAUAAUCUUCAGUUUUAAUUUUGGGAUAAUUGAUAUUAGCUAAUGGCUAAUCGAUUAGGUAAUGAUCAGAAACUUAAAAUAAUUAGUAGACGACAAGUAAUGGUUAGGACUUACAUGAGGUUGAUUAGUAAUUUAAUAGUUAAGGGUGGAUAAUUAAUUACUUAUAGGUACUUCACUAAUAAGGAUUAGAUUAGUAACUAUGAUAAGUAUGAUGUAAUUUUAUGUGUUGAAAGUGUUUGAGAUGAUGAUUAUUGAGAUUAUUUAUCUAUAUGAUGUUUGUGUUUGUGAUAAUGAUGAUGAAUAUUAUAGUAAUGUAUUUAGUUGCAAAUAAAGAUUAAGUUAUGUUAACUAUUAAAUUAUGUUGAUGAUAAUUAUUUCUUCUACAUGUGUUUGUUGUACUAUAAUUAGAACAUGUAGGAGUUGUGUAAUGAUAAAAUCAAAGUAGAAGAUUGAGGAUAUUUUUGGAGUAUUAUUGAUAAAAAAAAAUUUACGUACAGACAAGAAAUAUGUUGAUGGCAUUCUCCUCUUGAAUACGGAAUUACUCUUUUGUUAGUAAUGGAAAAAAAAAAUAUGAAAAAAGCGAGUGAAUCACUAGAACUAUUGUAACUAAAAAAGAUAGAGUUACUUUACUCUUCUAUUGAAUUCUAUUUUGAAUAUAAAUUUUAAUGAAAUGCGAAUUGAUUUUUCUUUUCUUUUUUUAUAAAAAAGAAAGGACUAUAUUUAAUUGAGGUUGUUACAUUGAAAGAAAAAUAUAAUAGAUGAAAAAGAAUUUGUUUUUUUAUUCAGCAUGGUGGUUUAUUUAUUUUGAUAAUUUUAUUAUAUGAAUUAUAUUCUACCACUUGCCGGAAUUCAGUUUUCAGAAAAUUUUAAUUUUUUUAUGAUAUCGUUGACAAUCAUAAAAAGACAAUUAUUCGCUUUUAAUAUAGUUAUUUGUGCAACUAUUUUAUGAUUAAAAAGCAAACUAAGUUUUUCUAUUCAUAAGGUAGUAAGUGGUUUUUCUACCCCUAUUAAUCCAAAAUAAGUUAAUUUAUCAUAAGUAUGCAUAUCCUUCUAAAUGUCGAUUGCAUUAAAAAUGGGGAAUCGUGACAAUUGUCUAAAAUCGCUACAUUUUAGUGUAUAAUAUGUCAGAUUUUAGGACCGAUCUAGUUUAGCUCCUCCACCAAUAGAUUUCCAUGGAUAAUGUUCUAUCCUUGGUCUAUAGUUUAAUUUUUAUUAAUUUUAGAAAAUUUCAAUCAGAAUUCCAAGGGUAAUACUUAUGUCCAUGUCUUACUCUUGUAUAGCUAGUAGUAUCCAUAUUCAUAUUCUAUCAAUUAAUUUUAUUAUAUUAUGUUCCACGUUCUACAGAUGUGCAAUUUUGGUUGAAAGCCAUGGGAAUCCCCUGCAAAUCUUGCAAACAAUUCUGCUUGCUGCUAAUAAACACAAGGGUCCCUCUUAUGAUGUGAAUUAGUAGAUUUCAAGUAAGAUUUUAACAAUUUUAAUUUGUUUCAAAAUAUUUUUUUCAUGAAAUGCAAAAACUAAGUAAAUAAUUAAUAUUAUUCUAUAAGAUGUGUACCAGAAAAAACAACGAAAUAUCUAAUGAUUUCUAAUUCUUCAAACAAAAUUUCUCCAUUAAAAUUAGAAGAAUUGUCACAUUUUCACAAGUUUCAAAGUAUUUACAUCAUAUUUUAAUUUAAGCUAUUAUCAAAGAAUGGUAUAACCGUUAAUACUAGACAAAAUUAAAAAUAUUAUCAAAUAAAGUGUGUUAUACAACUUAAAUUUUCUAUUAAGUGAGCAAUUGUUAAUUUUUUAUUUGAAUACAUCUUUAGCUAUAUAAUUUUUAUUUCUUAAUAUUUAUAUAUCUUGACUAAUAUUACUGAAUUAAAAAUUAAAAUUAAAAUUGGUGUCUCUAAAAAAUUGAGGUCUUGAUCAUUUGCUCAUCUCAACCGCCCUUAGAGUCAUCACUACGGUCAAUCACAAAUAUUGAAUCAUUAUAGAUAUUUAAUUUUUAUAAUAAAUAUAACGAGUUUUUAUUUUUUUUUUACCAAUGGAGUUCCUUUUUUAUUGGUAAACAUACAAUAAUAGAAAGGAGCUUUCUCAAGUGAUUACAAAAAAUGAAAUGUAGUAAAUUUAGAGAUAUUGUACCAAAUGUUAUUAAGAGUUAUUAGAUGGGUACAUACUCACGUGAUAUUUUUUGUGAUUAAUUUAAUAUUAGACGUUAAUUAAAUCUAACGAUUGUUAUUAAUAUGGAACAUAUCUAAUAAGAACUUUUGUUUCUCUAAUUUAAAAAACGAGAACUAUUAAUAGUAAUCGAUAAACUACAAUUAAAAUUAAAAAAAAAAUCAAAUUAAAUAGUCACGUAUCUCUUCUCUCUUUAAUUUCUAUGAUUUGCGAAUGAACACUACCAUAAAGUAAGGUCACUUCCAAAUCGAUAUAAAUUAGAAAUAAAAAUUAUAAAUCAAUCCCAAAAAAAUCAAAUAUUAUUUUAUAUAUUUAGAUCAUCUGUAAUGAAAACCACACAGAUCGGAUGAGAUUUCGAAUUAAACUUUUAAAAUUGAACUAAACCGUAUAUAUAUAUAUAUAUAUNNNNNNNNNNNNNNNNNNNNNNNNNNNNNNNNNNNNNNNNNNNNNNNNNNNNNNNNNNNNNNNNNNNNNNNNNNNNNNNNNNNNNNNNNNNNNNNNNNNNNNNNNNNNNNNNNNNNNNNNNNNNNNNNNNNNNNNNNNNNNNNNNNNNNNNNNNNNNNNNNNNNNNNNNNNNNNNNNNNNNNNNNNNNNNNNNNNNNNNNNNNNNNNNNNNNUAUAUAUAUAUAUAUAUUAAUACUUAUUUAUUUUUUUAAUAGUAUUAAGUAUUGAAUAAAUUUAUUAUUUGUUAGUUAUCAUUUUUAUUAAUAAUACUUAUUUGUUUAAUUUAACUUUGUUUUACUAUUUUAUACAUUUCAAACAUAAUGUAUCAUCGUUAUUCCAAAAUAUUAAUUCUUUGUAUACUAUACAUUAUAUUUUGUUUUAAACUUGUUAUUUUAACAUAACUUUAUAAUAAAAAUAUUCAAUCAAUAUUUUAUAAUUGUAAUUUGUAUAAUUGAAAAUCUAUCUAAUUUAAAUUGAUUAGUUCGAAAUGGAACAAUUUUUAAAAAAAAAAUCUUAUCCAAACUUUAUCAAAUCACAAAUAUUUUAUGUUUUAGAUUGGAUGAGUUUUUACCUCAUUGUAAUUAAUUAUAUAGAUGUAACUCAUAUACAUUAUCAAUAUAAAGAUUUUUUAUACUCUCAUUCAAUCAAAACUUUUAGAUCAUUGUAAAUGUUUGACUUUUAAGUUUUAUCAUAAUUUCUUCUAAAAUCAUGUUCUUAAAUAAUUAUGUUGUGGUGACAAUUUAAAACUUUUUAAAUUAAUAAUACACGAUAAUUAAUAUAUAUAUAUUAAAAGAAUGGAUGCAUCAAUAUUGUUAACUAAUAACGUGAGUUAAUAUAUAAUUCGAAUAUUUAUACAACCGAAUAUGACUCUACAGUCUCUCAAAAUAAAUUUUCCUCAAGAAAAAACUCCAAAUAAUUAAUUUAAAGGAUAUAUAGUCACUUGAAUUUUACCAAAAAAUAUAUUGUCCGUUGAUGUAAUUUCUUAGCUUGUACUAUUUCAUUGGCCCUUUUGAGACCUUUUAGCCAAUUUUUAUAUCAUUCCAUGUGUGACAAGUAUUAUUUGUUCUGGAGUGGCACCCAGAUAUGUCAAUUUGAUAAGUCCCCUAAUUAUUAGUUUCGGUGAUGGGUUAAACAAUUUUAUAAUUUAAAAGGUCUAAAAAAAAACCCUCAACACUAAAAGUCUCUUAAAAUUUUGUGGGUUUAGUGGGCUUAUAGGCCCACUUUUUCAAAAGAAAAUAUCUAUUUUUUUUAAAGAAUUUUGACAAUUUUUUUUUUGAAAUUUUCUUUUAUUUGAGAAAAAAAAUUGAUUUUUUUAUUUUUAUUUUUCUCACAAAUUAUCUUGAGAAAAAAAAAAGUAAUUUAAAUUUUUUUAAUCUUUUUUGAUAUUUUUUAGAAAAAAAUUUUCAAAAAAAGAAAAUUUUAAAAUUAAAAAAAUAUUAGGAGCCGAUAAACCCCUUUCCUCCCCAUGAAAUAAUAGAUUGAUGCUUUAAAAAAAUUAUUUUGAUAGAAAACUUAAUAUUAAGGACUUAAUAAAAAAACAAAAUUAAAGAGAACCUUCGAGAGUUGGAAUUAGAGGUUUUUUGUCAGUGGCACAUACGAAUGGAUAAUCAAUUCAUUAAUUAUGAAUUGGCGUCCGAAGAUUUCACGGGAAUAGGAGAGAUGCAAACAAGAUUGGUUAAUUAGAUUGAUACGAAAACCCUAGAAAUAAUCUUGAGUUUUAAUUUUGGGAUAAUUGAUAUUAGCUAAUGGCUAAUCGAUUAGGUAAUAAUCAGAAACUUAAAAUAAUUAGUAGACGACAAGUAAUGGUUAGGGGACUUAUAUGAGGUUGAUUAGUAAUUUAAUAGUUAAGGGUGGAUAAUUAAUUAAUUAUAGGUACUUCACUAAUAAGGAUUAGAUCAUUAACGAUGAUAAGUAUGAUGUAAUUUUAUGUGUUGAAAGUGUUUGAGAUGAUGAUUAUUGAGAUUAUUUAUCUGUAUGAUGUUUGUGUUUUUGAUGAUGAUGAGGAUGAUGAAUAUCAUAGGAGUGUAUUUAGUUGCAAAUAAAGAUUAAGUUAUGUUAAAUAUUAAAUUUUGUUGAAUGAUAAUCAUUUCUUCUGCAUGUGUUUGUUGUAUUAUAAUUAGGGUAUGUAGGAGUUGUGUAAUGAUAAAAUCAAAGUAGAAGAUUGAGGAUAUCUUUAGGGUAUUAUUGGUAAAAAAGACUUACCUAAAGACGAGAAAUAUGUAGAUGACAUUCUCCUCUUGAAUAUGGAAUUACUCUUUUGUUAAUAAUGGGAAAAAAAAUGAAAAAAAGCGAAUUGAUGACUAGAACUAUGGUAGCUCGUAAAAAAGAUAGAGUUAAUUUACUCUUCUAUUGAAUUCUAUUUUAAAUCUAAAUUCAAAUGAAAUUAAUUCGAAUUGAAUUUUUAUUUUUUAAAAAAAUACGAUUAUAUCCAAUUGAGGUUGUUACGUUGAAAGAAAAAAAAAUAAUAGAUGAAGAAGAAUUAUUUUUUUAUUCGGCAUAGUGGUUUAUUUAUUUUGAUAAUUUUAUCAUAUGAAUUCUAUUCUACCACUUUUCGGAGUUCAGUCUCCGGAAAAUUUUAAUUUUUUUAUGAUAUAGUUAGACAAUCAUAAAAAGACAAUUCUCUUUUAAUAUAGUUAUUUGUACAACUAUUUUAUGAUUAAAAAGCAAACUAGGUUUUUCUAUAUUCAUAGUAAGUGGUUUUUCUAUCAGUAUUAAUUCAAAAUUUGUUGAAUCCAUGAGUUGAAGUUAAUUUAUCAUAAGUAUGCAUAUCCUUCUAAAUGUCGAUUGCAUUAAAAAUGGAGAAUCGUUGCAGUUGUCUAAAACCACUACAUUUUAGUGUAUAAUAUGUCAAAUUUUAGAACGGACCUAGUAAUAUUAUGCAAGUUAUAGAAAUUUUGAACUGAUAGUAUCGACAAUAUUUUUUUUAUUCCAAAUCACAUAGGUGUCUUCACUUUCCAUCUUCUAUUUAUUGGGUUCCAAACCAUUAAUUCCCUCGAGCAUCAUAGAAGGGGAACCGAGAACAGUAAACGACACUGCAACGACGGAGUUCGUGAUCUAUGUAAAGAAAAUCUUAAAGAUAGAUUUAUAGAUUAUAGAUUUAUGUCCAACCAUUCAUACAUCUAGAAAAUAGCACAUAGUGCAAAAACAAGUAGUAAAGAAAAUCAAGGUGUUACAUAUCUUCCCUUUUACAAAGAAAUACCAUACCAUCCCCAAAAUUGAACGAACCUGGAAAAAAAAAAUACAAAAUACUCAUCUUAUCUUUCAAUAUUCACAUAACACUUUCAAUUGAUGGUCCUCCCCAAAUCACUUUUACUAAGCGAUUUUGUUUCCUUCUAUAGGCCUACUUGUCUUUGUCCUUAACUCUUAAAUUAUUAAGAGAACAAAGAAAAAUAAAUUAUAUAUUUUUUUAAAUCAAAAUAAUUAGCCAGUCAAAGAAUUAUUAAGUGACAUUUGUCGCAAUAAAAUAAUUUUACAGUUACAGUAAAUAUGUGUAUUUUAAUAAAUAAAAUUUAUUUUAACAUUAAAAUCAAUACAAUUAAUUUUUUUUAAAUAAUGUACAAUUUAAAAUUAACACAUAAAUAAGAUGGAUGGAAUAUGCAAUACGACAAGCAUUUAUAACAAGAAACAUGUAAACAAAAUAAACGUUUAUUAAUAUAUUAAUUAUUUCAAUUACAAUUAAAAAAAUUAUUUAUUGACUAUCAGAAAAAAAGACGAAAAUGUCACUAUUGUGGCUUAAUUGCAAUAGAACUCCUAACAUGAUGUUUGCCGUCAGUCCAAUCUAACAUCCCAAAUACAUAAUCAUUCGUAAGCUUAUUUAGAGGCCUCAAACUCAAAGUUACACGGAACUCUUUCUUUUCACCCUUGUUCUUAAAGUUUAGUAUCUUAGGCUCAACUGAGACUAAAAAUUCGGGAGGUGCUUCAAUGUGAACUCUAUAUAUGCUUGGGGCACCAACAUUGGUAAGAGUGCGUGUAACAUUAAGAGAACUUCCAGUCUUCAAGUCGGGAAUUGUGAUUGUAGGAUAAUUGAAAUCUACUAAACUGAAAGAUUCUGGACAAGUGUAAGGCUUGCCGUAGAAUAUGCUAAGACGAUCACCUUCGUACCCAUGAUUGCACAAAUAGUUCAUAUAGUCUGUAACAUUUAGGUCGUAAACAAGUCCAGGAUCCGCAGCACGAUUAGGUCGAAUUUGCCCUGCACCAUAUGCAAAUGGAGUUGCACUUUCUAGUGAUGAAUCCAUCAGUUGCUUUCCAGUAUUGCCUGUUAUUGUUGCUGCAAAAUAUACAAAUUUGUUUUUGUAUUUGUAUUUGAAUUGUAUAACAAAUUGGAGUCCAAAAUCAUAUACAUGUUAUAGAUGGAUUAUAUAAGUAAACAAUUUAUUUUACCUGUGGUCAUUAUUGCAGACUUAAUUGCAGCUGGACUCCAAUCAGGAUGAAGAGAUUUGAGUAAUCCAACAACGCCGGAAACAUGAGGACAAGACAUUGAAGUCCCUGACAUAGUAAUGAAAGAAGUUUUUCGUUUAUCAGAUGGUAGGUCCGAGGGAGAUUGAACUUCACUAUAAGCAGCAAUUAUGUCCACUCCAGGUGCUAUGAUGUCAGGCUGAAACACAUAAAGCCAAAAAUUACCAUACAAUUCAUAGAAUAACUCAAAUUCAUAUAUAAAAUAAGUCUAUUGGUGUUUGAUAAUCAUAAAAAAACCAAUAAACCUUGAGGAUUGUUGGAUCAACGAUAUUUGGCCCUCUUGAUGAAAACGAUGCCAUAACUGGAGCUGGCUUUACACCUAAUUCUGUUUCAACUCUAGAAAUAGAAGCAAUGGGAGACCUGCAUCGUAUAUGCACAUAAAAAGAAAAUGUUUUGUAUGAAUAAUCCAAAAUUUGUGAUAGUAAAAAUAUGGAGACUAUAUGAAGCCUAUAUAGUAAAUGAAGAAAACAUUUACUUGGUUUGGUUAAUGUAAUUAAAAAUGUAUCUGCCAUCCUUAAAGUUAACAUGUGAAGCAGGAAGCACGUGAGGAUCAGCUAAAACGCUAUUAUCUGAUUCUUCGGCACUAGUCAAAAUCAUUCCAACACCACCUGCACGAGCAACUUGCUCACCCUUAUCAGUUCUACCAGUUUCACCUCGAAGGCAUACCACUAUCUUUCCUUUAACCUUUUCUGGAUCCAGAGAUCCACCCUUGCAAACAAGUCUACAACAAUUAUAUAGAUUUUAUAAGACAAAAUACAAUUAAAGUUCAAACAAACAGCUUUGGUUGAAAAGUAUUCUUACGCAUCAAGUAAAAAUGCACCAUCAGCUUUGGCUUGAGAUGAACUAAUCAAUGGAUAAAACUUUUUAGGUGGCAAGUAGGACUCUGAAAGGCUAACUCCCUAACAAACAAAAUCAAUUUUACUGUUAUCUAAUGAUUAAUUAAUUUCAAAAUAUUUCAUACACCAAAAGCAAAGUUUGGUAAAUAAUAAUAUACCUUGAGAACUUUGUUGUCACCAAGAGUAACAUAAUUAGUGAAAGCUCUAUCAAUUGUGCUUGCACCAACAGUGAGCACCCAAGGUUCCAAAUUUGAAACACUUGAGGGAGCAGGUCCUGAAUUUCCUGCAGAACUGACAACAACGAUGCCCUUGGCAAUAGCAUGGAAAGACCCCGUAGAAAUACUGCUUUGAAAAUAUUCACCAGGCGCACCACCCAAAGACACCGAAAUGACAUCAACACCAUCACUUAUGGCAGCUUCAAAACCAGCCAAAAUGUCUGCUUCAUAACAUCCACCGGCUCCCUCCACUUUUGGCCAACAAACUUUAUAGGUUGCAACACGUGCUUUUGGAGAUCCACCACUUGCUGUUCCGUUACCAUAACCAAAUACAUUUACUCCAUUAACAGCAUUACCUCCAGCUGUUGAUAAUGUAUGUGAACCAUGACCUUCAACAUCACGUGCACUAUUGAAUGAUACAUUUCCUAUGUCACCAAGAGCUGCCAAAUACCCUUUGUAAAAAUAUCUUGCUCCAAUCAGCUUCCUAUAUAUAUAUAUAUAUCAUUUAGAUGUCAAAAAGUUCAUUCAAUUUUUUGUUUUUUUAUCUUUAACAAAUACUAGUAAUAUAAGACGGGUAACCUGUUGCAAUGAAAGUUAUCCGUAUUAUUUUCGUCAACAACACAUUCUCCACGCCAUCUUGUUGGAACUGGACCCAUCCCUUCAUCACUAAAGCUCUUUGAUUCAGGCCAUACACCUAUCAACAAUCAUAUAAUAAUCCAUAAUACUUUUAUUGGAUACUAAUUACCAUCAAAUAAAGCAAUGUAUAAAAAUUAAAAAAUGCAUAGAUUCAAAACAAUAAUUUUAAAUUAUGAUUACUAUAAUGUAGAUUUUUAAAAUUUAUUUUAUAACCACAAUUACAGCAAUUUAAAAUCAUGUUCAAAACCAUAGUUAGGGAAACAAACAAAAAAUGGGAUUGACUCGGGUAUAAAUACUAUCACUAUAUGUUUUAUUAUACUUCAAUUUUAUUUUAUUUUAAUCUCAAAUUCAAUUGCAUACAAUUUUUAUUUGUUUCACACUUUCAGUCAUCUCUAUUAAUAAUUUUAUGGAUGUCAACUAAUAGAAGACGAAUGACAAUGAUAACCUUUUUACAAAUAUACAUCAUGAAUUGGUGAGUGAAAAACAUAGUAUUAAAUAAUUGAGUUUGUCUACGGAAAAAAUAACAAGUUGUCUGUGGAAAAAAAUUAAAAUAUCUAUCAUCAAAUGGUUCAAACAUGUCUCAUAAGGCAAUUGCAUUUAAAAGCAUAAAUAAAUAAAAAUGAACCAAUAAUUACCGGUGUCUAAAUUCCCAAUAAUGAUAUCUUCACCCUGUGACUUGCUCCAUAUUGAGUCGUUUGGAAUAGCAUCAUUUCUCUCUAUUAAUCCAAGGAAAUCCCAUGAAUGAGUUGUGUGCAGUUCUCGUGGUUUGUUCAAGAAAAUUGAUACCACAUUUGGAUUCUCUACACCAAUAAUUAAUACAAAAGGGUUAAUUAAAAUUACUAUAUGAUGCAUUAUUUACAUGCAUUUGGCAUAAAUGAAGAGAAAAAAAAUGAAAUUUAUAAAGUACAUACUUGCAACCAUUGCAGCUUGAUCUUCAUCAAGCACUGCGGCAAAGCCAUUAAAAUAUUUACUAUAAGAGUAGAAGACUGCUUCUUUGGCCUUCUCAGCGCUGUUUAAUAAAAAUAAUAAUUCAAUUACGUUUUUUUAAUCAGCUAAAAAAAUAAUUCAAUUAAUAAUUAGUUUAUAUUAAUUGAUUUUGCUACCAACGAAUUUCAUGGACAUGGGGGUUAAAUUAUUUACCUUCCAACGUAUGAGCUAAGCAAAUCAUAGUGAGAAUUUGCGACAGCUUCAACAUCAAGAGCUGAAGUACUUGGACUAGAUUGUGGUCCUAAGUAUACAAUGUAUGACUAACAAAAAAAUAUAUAUAUAUAACAUGAUUAAUUAUUUCAAACAUACGUAAAUUAAAAAUAAAAACUUCAACAAAUGACUUGAUGAUGACUAUAAUGGCUAAUAACCAGUUAAUGGAUUCCUAUAUGAUGUUACAAAGUUCUGUAACAAUUUUUAAUAUUUUUUUUUUACUCAAUAAUUUUUAAUGUUAUAAACUUUACAAAACAUGUUACAAAAUUAACCUGUUUGAUUGCUUGUGUUUGUUUCUGAAGCAGAAAGCAAACCAGAAGUAAAAAUAACGCACGACCAAUUGAUAAAGACAUUGGUUUUUCCAUAAGCAAUUUUUGUAUUAGAAAUGAGGUUAAGAGAAGAUAUGUAAAAGUUGUAUGCAAUCCCCUACUUAUAUAACUUUUUAGUGACUUCUUGUAAAACCGAAUCCAUCCCCCCUGUUCAUAACGAUUCAGAAUAUAAUUUACUUUUUAGUUUGACUUUCUUAAGACCACUUUAAUAAUUUUUAGUUUGACUUUCUUAAAACCACUUUAAUAAUUUUUAGUUUAAUUCUAAUUUUGGUAUCUAUUUUAUUAACCUAAUAAUUAAUCUCUCUUUUAAACUCUCACAACUUUGAUCCCUUUUUUAAAUUUUUUAAUUAAAAAAUAGUUAUUUUUUAUAUUUUAAAUAAUGUGACACACUAUCUCGUAAUGUAUAAUUAUAUAGAUUGACUAAUAAUCUAUGUUAUUAAUUAAAUUACAAAAAUAAAUAAUUUAAAAAAUUGAAAUUGAACUUUUUUAUAUGUUUUAUUGUAAUUUAAUAGAUAUUAAUCAUUCAAUAUAAUUAUAUCUUAUGUCACAUUAUUUAAAAUAUAUUAUAUCAUAAUUUUUUAAUUAAAAAAUUAAAGAAAAUGACCAAAACUAUUUGAUUUUAAAAUAAUAAAACUAAUUUUUCAAAUUUGAUUUAAAAUAAAAGAACUAAAAUUAUAAUUAAGCUAGAGAGAAAAAGUAAUAUAAACCCGUAUAAAAGAUUGAUGUAUUUAGACACAUCAUAUAACUUUCCAUCUAAGAGAUUGUAAAUUGAAUAACUCAUAUCGGAUGUGGAAGUAAACUAUUUUACAUACAAAAUGUAUAUCCAUUAAAUUCAUCUCUUAAAAUAAAAAAUUUCAAUUUAUUUUCUUUGCAUUACAAGUUUCUGAAGAAAAAGUCAAACAGAUAAUUUUUACUUUCCUUUAAUAAAAUUUAUUUUUUGUGACAUUUUUUAUUUUUCAAAAGUAAUUUUAAAAAACAAAAAAGAGUAAAGAAAAUUUUUUUUAACAAAAGAAAAUUAAUUAAUUUUUAUCAUGACUUUUUGACUUUUUGACUUUUUGACUUUUUCUUAGAAAUUUUAAAGCAAAAAAUUUUAAUUUGAACAAAAAAUAAUUUUUUAAGGAAAGUUUUAAAGAAAAUUAAAGAUAUUUUUUAAAAAUUGUUUCUUUAACUUUCAAAAAUAGUUAAAUUACUAUUAAGUAAUUUAAAUUAUAUGUUACAUAAUUUCUUUUGACCCAUUUUUUCCCUCAAAAAUACAAAUUUUCAAAUUGUAAUUUUUUUUUUCCAUAAGUAAAAAAAACUGAGAGAAAAAGUUAGAUACCAAAUAUUUUGAUAGGUAGAAAAAAAAAUCUACACAGUUUUACAUAUAAAUAUUUUGUGCGAAUUUCUAUAGCAUACAAAAAAAAUUAUAUAGCAAAUAUUUUAUUUUGAAAUUUUUGAUACAUCAAGAAAGUACGAACUUUAAUAGAAAAAAUAUUUAUAGUAAAUAUUUUAUUUUUGAAAUUUUUAAUAAGUAAAACAAGUUAAAAAAAAAUUAGGCUUAAUUGCAGUUUUGGUCCUCCUAUUUUAGCUGAAUCGCGAAAGUAGUCUCCCCAUUUUGUUUCUCCUCAGUUUUGGUCCCCAAACAAAAUUUUGGUCUAAAAUUUGAUUAAAUUUUAUCUUUUAAAGCCGUACUACACCAUUUAUGAUCAUAUAUUUCAGAUACAAUUGUUGCAAAUGAGAUCUUGAGGCAUUGUGUGACUUAAAUAAAUGCAAAAAAAUUGAAAUUUUAUCAAGUUUUGGAUCAAAAUUAUGUUUGAGGGACCAAAACUGGGGAGAAAUAAAAUGGAGGGACUACUUUCGCGAUUCAGCUAAAAUAAGGGGACCAAAACUGCAAUUAAGCCAAAAAUUUACAUUUCAAAUAUUUCAUGUUUUCAAACUUCAAGUAAACAAAAAAAAAAAACUGAAAAUUUUUUAACAUAUCAAAUAUUUUAUUUUUUAAUUUUAUUAAAAAAAUUAAUUAUAGUUUAAGUCCCCUUAUUUUUACCAAUUUACAAAAUCAAUCCUCAUAUUUUAAAAUAUAACAGUUUUGGUUUCUUAUUGUGACUUUUUAAUUAAAAAAUAAAGAUGUAACGCGUUUUAAAUAAUGUGACACAUGUUACGAUAAUGUAAAAUAAUUAAUACAUAUGAAAUUAAAAUAAAAAUCUUUCAAAAACUUAACUUUCAACUUGAUAAAUUUUUCAUAUUUCUAAUUUAAUUAAUGACAUAUAAAUAAUUAAUGUAUCUAUACGAUUUUACAUCAUAAAAUUGUAUGUUACGUCAUUUAAAAUAUGUCAAAUGGUCACAUUUUUAGUACAAAAAUUUGAGUGAGGAACCAAAUUAUCGACUUUUAAAAUAGAAAAAUUUAUUAUGUAAAUUGUUAAAAAUAGAAAGAUCAAAACCAUAAUUAAAUCAAUAUGAAGGUAAAAAAUUAUAUAGUGGGACAAUGGAUGUGAUCAUGAGACCAAGAGUUAAAAAAUUGUUUUACUUUCGUAAUUGACUUGAUCUGUUGUCUCUGUAAUAAUCUUCUGGGUUUAAAUAUGUUUUUAGUUUUUAUAAAAAAUUUACCAUUCAAUUUUAAUUUAUGUAAAAUAAAAAUACAUUUUUUUCCAUACAAAAUUAGUUAGCAAUUACUUUUAAUCUCUGCUAAAAUAAAACAUGUUUAAUUGUUCUUCAAUUUUAAAAAUAUAAAUUUUUUAAGUUGCUAAAAUAUCAAGAUAAAAGCAAUGAAAAUAUGGAUUAGAAAUUAAAUUUUGAACUCAUUUUUUGUGGAUGAAUUUUUUAUAAUAUCAUAAACAUACAUUAAAAAAUACAUAUAUCACUUUAAUAAUACUGGCUAAAACUGCAUAUAUGAUAAUUUUAUAGAGAUUAAAAAUUAUAUUUUUAUUUUAUAAAAAUUACAAUUGAAAUGUUAAAAUUUUAUAAGAGAUAUUUAAUUUUAUUCUCCAACAACUUCAUAUUGCUUCUUUUCCAUAAACUCCAUAAUACUUGCUGCAUAUAUAUACCCUAUUUUACUGGUUACACCCCCUUAUAGAAAUAAAAUGAUCAAAUUAUUCUUUAAGCAAACUCAAAUUUACUCAUUUUAACAAAAAAACCUUCUCUAAUUAUCUCAUUUUCAUCAUUUCUUUCACCUUCUCCUUUCUUCUUCCUCGGGAUUUUGCAUAUCAUAUGUAUUAUAUCAUAUGUAUUGGCGAUCUGUUUUUCUGAUUUUAAAAGUAUUUGUACAUAGUUGUUAGAGACGUACGCAUAGUCAAUUAAUUUGUGUAACUUUAUGUGAAUUGAAUUCUUGUAAAUUUUAAAAUAUUAUGUUGAAAAUCUAAAUUAAAAUUACUUACGUGAGCUAAAUUUACAUAUAUGCGUAAAUUUAGUUUGCAUAUGCUAUUUGAUUUCAAUUUACGUAUAUUGUAAAAAAAACAGAGAGAAAAACUUAUAUGAAUUAGUUUCAUGUACGUUUAUAUAGUUUCAGUUCGUGUAUGUUUACGCAAUUUUAAUUUGCGUAUAUUUAUAUAUUACUAGUUUCAAAUUAUUUACUUAUUUAUGCAAACUAAAAUUAUUGCUACGUCAACUUAGUUCGUGUAUCUUUAUAUGAAGAAUGUUUGUGUACCAUUUAUACAUUUUUAUAUUAGUCACUGUACAUGAAUUAAAAUUGUAUACGUUUGUAAAUUUUAAUAUUAUUAAAAUAUAUUAACAUAAAUAAAUAGAAAUUUAAAAUGUUGGAAUGUUCGGGAGACAAAUAAUAUAUCUUGUGGGAAACAUCUUUUGCAAGUUCUUCAAUUUUCUAUCUAAUUGUUUUUUUUCUUCAGAUCUUUUGUAUAAGAUAUGAGAUGAGAGGUGAAUGAUGAAAUAAAAAUAGAAAUAAGGGUUUUAAAAUUAUGAAUUCUUGAAUGAUGAAGUAAGUAGUAAAAGCGACUCCACAAAAUCAUGGAAAAAUUAGAAAUAUACUCAUUUUUUUAAUAAGCAUGCUCCUUUCUUAAUCUUCUAAAAAACCUGAAAAAAGAACUCAACAAAAUCAUUAUUUUUCCCCACAUGUGCUCAGCAAUGUUCCACACGGAGGUUUUCCUUCAACAAAACUCGCAAGUUGAGCAUGAAAAGAAAACAUGCCAACUACUUUCAUUUUCAGCAAACACAAGGACUAAAAGUAAUAAUAGAUAUAUUGCAGACCAAAAAUACAUUUAAAUAUAUAUUGUAUAAAUACAUUUAGUAAUAUUUUGCAUAAAAAUUUGAGGGUUCAAUUUUUUUUUAUGUUAUUGAAAGAAGAUAAAUGUAAUAUUUUUUUUUUAAAAUAUUUAAUAAACUUUAAAAUAUUUCUUACUUUGAUAUGUGAUACUAUCGUUUAACCUUAAAUUUAUUUUAGCAAAAAAAACUAUUUCCUUGAUUAAGAAUGAAAUGAUAUAAUAUAUAUUUUCCUUAAAAAACAGAUUAAAUAUACAUUAAAUUUUCUUAAAUUUAUUAAUUUACGGUUUUGGUCAUUUCAUUUCUAAAAUUUAAAUUGAUAUUCUCAAAUUUAAAAUUUCCAAAAAAAGUACACCACUAAAUUUAAAACUUAUUUUCAUUGAGUCGAAUUGGAUAAUUAGCUCACAAUAGGGGUGAUUGUACAAUGAUUAAAUGAAUCAACUCUUAUUAUUUUAUUUUAUAUAUUAUUAAAGUAUUUUUAAAAUAAAAUAAAAAUGUGAAAGUCUAGAAGUGAAAUUUUAAAAUAAAUUUUCACAUCUUGAUUUAUCGUCUUUUUAUUGAACGAACAUACCACCAUAUCACAAAAAAUAAAUCUAAAUUAUAGCUGCGAGACAUUUAAAAAAAAAUCGAAGAUCAUAAGAAUAAGAAAUUUUGAAUAAUAAUAGUAAAAAAUGUUAAAUAUAUUUUUUAUUUUAUAAUAAAAAAAAUUACUCUUAAUCUUUGUAAUACUUUUUAUCAAUAAUUUUAGUUAUUAUUGUUAAGUCAACAGUAUGUUUACUCAAACAAAUCUAAAAAAUAUUGUAAGCAUAAAAAAUAUUAAAAUCUAAAAAACCAGCUCAUAAAAAAAUAAAUUUUAAUAAUGCAUAGAAGAUAUAUUUUUGCACUUUGCCGUGUUCGCGUGAAAAGCCGGUUGUUUUUGGGAACUCAAAAUUCUAGUUUCCUCUUCCCACCUCAAAAAUAAAACCAAAAAACUUUAUCUCCCUCUUCAUUCAUUAUUACUAUGAUUUAGUGAACAAUACACAGUGGAAUAUAAUUCUUUGUAUUUAUUUAACCAUAUGAAUUAAUAAACCCACAGAUCCCAACCUCUGUUGAGUUCAAAAAAAUGAAACAAAAGUGCAACAUGAUUAUUACUCUUGCAGUAGCAGCCUUAUCAUGUUUUCUCAACUCAAACAUCGUUUUGGUGUUUGCUCAUGUUAAUGGAUUUGGUGAACAACCACUCUCCAAAAUUGCCAUUCAUAAAACCGUUUUUUCACUCCACAGUAACGCCUCAGUUACAGCUAUUCCUUCUCUUCUUGGCACUAAGGUAAACAUAACAUGUUUCUUAAACUUACUCAAAAUUCCAGCCGUUGACUUCCGUUGAUUUUUAAGUUGACUCAUAGUGUGAUUUUAUUAUUGUUAUUUUAGGGUGAAGAUACACAGUGGGUUACUCUUGAUAUUGAUUUUCCUGAUCCAUCUGUAGAUGAUUGGGUUGGAGUUUUCUCUCCUGCAAACUUCAAGUAAUUAAUGCAUAUCUAUCCCUCUUAAGUUGUGUUAUUUUGACAUCAAAUUUCAACCACAAAUUAUAUGGUUCACACAAUUUAAAUAUGUUGUUAAUCGUGUUCAGCUGAGGAUUAAUGAAUAUAACUAGGUGUAGCGACUCAUUAAUCAUCCACGAAAUACAGUUAACCACGUUUUUGAGUGUCAUUAACCACAAUUUAAUAUGUUUUAUAACACUUUGUUAUAUUCAUGAAUCAUUCACCGUACAUAAUUAGCUACAUAUUUGAACUGCAUGUAAUUUGUUGUCGAAAUUUGAUGUCAAAUUAACAUUUCUCUUCUCUCUUUUAUUACGAUAGAGUUCUAUUGAAUUUUGUACAGUUGUAAAACCUGCACAUAUAAUUACUGAUAAAAGAACUAAAUGAGAAUGUUAUAUAUUUUUUUAAAUGGCAGUUCAUCAACUUGUCCCCCUUUAAACGAUCCAAAAGAGCAGAUUCCAUUCAUAUGCUCGGCCCCAAUAAAGGUUUGUGUCGUAAAUCAAUCAAUGUAUAGGUUUGAUUAGUUUUCUAAUUUGUGUAUUACUCAUGUAGUUCAUUUGAAUCUUUGUAUCAGUACAAGUUUGUGAAUUACUCAAACUCGCAUUAUACCAAGACAGGAAAAGCUUCUUUGAGUUUCCAGUUGAUCAAUCAACGUGCGGAUUUCUCAUUUGCGCUAUUUUCAGGCGGACUAUCAAAUGUGUGUCUGGGACUCUUUCAGCUUUUCAUAUAUUUGUUAUUUCUUUCUCAAUAUGUACUUAAACCAGUGUUCAGAAUGUGUAUAUGAUGAUAUUGUUUGCUAACUAUUAAUCAUUUGACUAAGCAUUGCAGCCUAAACUUGUGGCAGUUUCCAAUUUCAUAUCAUUUGCCAAUCCUAAAGUGCCUUUAUAUCCUCGGCUAGCUCAAGGGAAGUCUUGGGAUGAAGUAAGUUCAUUUUCAUACUUUGAGGUCCUUGAUAUUAUGCUCACCAAAAUAAUACUAUUCAUUACUGUGAUCCACAGGUCCUUUAUAUGAAACAUCAAAUUAAAAUUAACAAGUUUCCCAAGACAUGCAAUCUAUAGGGUUAAUAAAUUUGAGCACACACCCACUGAUAAUGAUAGAUUUCUAUAAGAGUGUAAUUGGACUUUCUAAAUUUGACCUGAUACUAUAGGAAUAAUAAUUGAUGUCAUUGGAACCACUAUGUCUAUUAGAGCUAUGCAAGUGAUUUCAGGAAUUGUUGUUAUUGUCUUGUGCAGAUGACAGUUACAUGGACAAGUGGAUAUGACAUAAAUGAAGCAACGCCGUUUGUUGAAUGGGGUGCUGACGGAAAAAUGCCCGUGCAAUCGCCUGCUGGAACAUUGACAUUUGGUCGUAACAGCAUGUGUGGUAUGGUUUAUUUGAUCUUCUUAGCACGGCAUCAUAUUGGAUUAUUAUUGCAUACAUAGUUUAAUCCAGUUAGUAUUUAAUCUGCUUGGUAUUUUUAUUGCAUCACAUGGUCAAUUGAAUUUCUGCUUGACAUUUUGCAAUUGUUUGAACCUGAUAAGAGUCAUCAUGAACCUGCAAUUUUUGUAUCAUCCCGAAAAAUAGAUCUCUUUCUCUUUCAAUGGGAACUUAGAAUGGACUCUUUUGUAGCUAUACUGCAUAAUUUAGUUAUUUAUCUUCUCCCACCUGCAGGUUCACCUGCACGAACUGUUGGUUGGCGUGACCCUGGUUUCAUACACACAAGUUUUCUCAAAAAUCUGUGGCCAAAUUUAGUGUAUGCAUUCUGAAAUCUAUUUAUGUAUAUAGCACAAUGUGAAACUGGCAUAGUAUGUUCUAUAGUUUUCUUCAAUAUAUUUUUCAGGUAUACAUACCGAUUAGGUCAUAUUUUGUCUAAUGGUUCGUACAUUUGGAGCAAGAAAUAUUCAUUCAAGUCAUCGCCUUAUCCCGGACAGGACUCACUUCAACGUGUUGUCAUAUUUGGGGACAUGGGGAAGGUAAUAUUAAUCUUUUCGAAAUACAAUCUAUGUACAGAGAAGAUUGUCUCAAACUGUCUUUGGAAGAAAGAAACUAGUAUGCUACCAAGUGCAAUCUUUAGGCAUAUUUAUGAUUGGGCGAAAUAAGGAUCUUUAGCACUGAAUAUCUCUUCAACAGUGUUGUUAAAUAGCGGCACUAUGACGUUAUUGCAUAGCGGAGUUUGAACAAACCGCUAAUGUUCUGCAAUAUGCUAUUUAAUAGAAAAUUUGUCAAAUAGCGGCUAUAGCAUUGCUGUGUGGUGGAAUUUGAAUGUUACUCUAUUUCUCACGAUCCACAAUUGACAACAAUGCUCUUCAAUGUGUUUCAGGCUGAGCGUGAUGGUUCAAAUGAGUAUAGUAACUACCAACCUGGGUCACUUAACACCACUGAUCAGCUUAUCAAGGAUUUAGAAAAUAUAGACAUUGUUUUCCACAUAGGAGAUAUAUCAUAUGCAAAUGGAUACAUCUCACAGUGGGACCAAUUCACAGCUCAGGUGGAACCAGUUGCAUCAACAGUACCAUAUAUGAUUGCCAGGUUGAUUUUAUCGCCCAUACCUUGUAACAUUGGCAUGUGAAUUAGAUUGAUUUGUUAUUUGUAUAUUGAACAAUGAUUGCAAUCAUCCUGCAGUGGUAAUCAUGAACGUGAUUGGCCCAACACGGGAUCCUUUUAUGACACUACAGAUUCAGGCGGCGAGUGUGGAGUUUUGGCUGAGACCAUGUUCUAUGUUCCAGCUGAAAACAGAGCAAAAUUUUGGUAAAUUCAGUUUCAUGAAAGAUUCAAAUUUGUUAAUUUCUAUUCUGAACACAAAAGUGAAUCCAAUCACUCGUUAUAUUGAACUUUUCAAAUAGUUAUAUGAAUGAUCCUUCACAUAUCAAUAUAUUAUCAUUAAACUUGAUCAAAAUUAAUGUUUAAUAAUUUGAGUUAAUUUUUUUUUCUAUUAUGAAGAUGAUCAAAUUGAAUUGCUUUUAAACUCACUGAGUUAUGACAUAAUUAUGUUUUAGUAUUUUAACAUGAAUAAUUAAGUUACAUACAAAAAAUUGAGUUUAUGGUUUUAAUAAUAUAUAUCCAAGUUGUAAAAUGAACGAGAUUCUGAUUUUUCAGGUAUGCGACGGAUUAUGGCAUGUUUCGCUUCUGCAUAGCUGACACUGAGCAUGAUUGGCGAGAAGGAUCUGAACAGUACAAAUUCAUUGAGCAUUGUCUUGCAACAGUAGACAGACAAAAACAACCAUGGUUGAUCUUUGCUGCUCAUCGUGUGCUUGGAUAUUCCUCCGACUUUUGGUAUGGAUUGGAAGGGUCAUUUGAAGAGCCCAUGGGAAGGGAAAGUUUGCAGAGACUUUGGCAGAAAUACAAAGUAGAUAUUGCAUUUUAUGGCCAUGUCCAUAACUACGAAAGGACAUGCCCCAUUUAUCAAGUAAGGACAAUAGUCAAAUAUGCUAUUAUUUUAUUUAAAUUUGAACCAACUUGAAUUAUUGCUAAGCCCAUGUUUUAUUUUAUGGUGUGCUUUUCUUCCUUUUCGAAAUUGUUGAAGUUAUCUAUGGAUGGAUGGAUGCUCAUUCAUCUUGCAUAACUUAUAAUUCCUUUUGCUUCUUUAAUGAGUUUCUAUGAAGCACUGACACUUUAGAUUAAAAGCGUCUCGAGUGUUUGAUGCAUGUCAAUUUCUGAUACUGACACAACCCUUACAUGUGUAGUUACAUUCAACCACUUCCAGUUUUUUAAAUUAAUAUUAGUGUUGACGGGUCAGAGUUAGUGUUUGGUGUAAUGAUCAGUGCUUCAUAGGUGAGUUUUGAUUUUAAUUACAUAUGCUAAUGCUUAUUUUCGGAUGAACCAAAUACAUAUGCAGAAUCAAUGCGUGAAUACAGAAAAGUCCCAUUAUUCAGGCACUGUGAAUGGAACAAUUCAUGUUGUUGUUGGAGGGGCAGGAAGUCACUUGUCCAAUUUCAGCCAAGUGACUCCAAAGUGGAGUCUUUACAGAGAUUUUGACUUUGGGUUUGUCAAGUUGACAGCAUUCAACCAUUCAUCCCUCCUCUUUGAAUACAAGAAAAGUAGAGAUGGAAAGGUUUACGACUCUUUUACAGUUUCAAGAGAUUACAAAAAUGUUUUGGCCUGUGUACCUGAUGGUUGUGAAGCAACCACUUUAGCAUCUUGAACUCAGACAGAUAUUAUCUCUAUUUUUCGAAAGAAAUUGAAGACUUCGUUAGUAUGUUUCACAAGUGUAUUAAGACACGUUGCUAGAUUUUGGCAUACAUUAGGUCUUUAUUCACUUUAAAUUAUAGUAGUAAUAUAGACCUCUCAAUUUCUUUUGAGAAAUAAAGAGGAUGUCAAAAAGAAAUAGACAAGUGUAUUAUGACGCAUACUAUUGCCUACAAUUGGCAUCCAUUACACUCUAAAUUAUAGUGAGGUUCUUAGGAAAUACUUAUACCGAUUUGGAAACCUAAGUUUUAGCCUUUUAGCUAACCUAACCAAAUCAAACCUAUGAAAAGUUACGAUUAAUAAAACUUCCGAAAAGAGUGCGAGAUAUGAUUUUGGCCUGUUGCCAAAUAUGCAACCUUAUCCAUUAUCAAUUUCAUACCACUUUUUUUUUUAUCCUCAUGGAUUGGCAGUGGACCGACAGAUUUAGACUUUCCAAUGUUAUAUGGUUUUUUUAUUUUUAUUUUAUUCAUUUAUUUAUUUAUUUAUAGUUAUAUUGUCUGUGGAAUGUGAAGGAUGCUAGGUGACAUUACUACCUGUUCAAAAAAAAGUGACAUUAGCACAUUGCUAAGGCAAAACAGUUCGCGAAAAUGAAUUUUGAUCCAUGCAGGACCUCUGGAGACGCGGUGUACAGUUGUCGUGGGAUAUCUGUAAGUAUUGUGACGUCUAAGUCAGUAAUAAUUGGGGAUGUGUGAGGUAACGAAUAAUAUAUACUUCUUUCUAAAAAUUCAACAAUUUAUAUACGGACUCCUCAAAGAGUGAUAACGUAGCAACUAUUAUUAUGUUGUAAAGAAUUCAACAAAAAGCAAGUAAUGUUUGAUUAUUGUUGGGCGGCUGUGAUCAAUUGAGGGGAGGAGGGGGACGAAUUCGGCUCUGUGGCCUAAGUUUCGACACUCAACAUUUGGUCAAACCACUUAUUUUCGAUUUGGACUGAAUUAUGUCAUGAAAUACUUCAAAAAAAAAUUGUUUUUAAAUAUUUUUAAAAAUCAUAUUCUCAACACAAAAAAUUACAUUACCUUGUUUUUUUUUCAAAAACAUAAUAUAAUCUAUUUUUAUUAUUGUUUUAUUGUUUUAGUAUUAAAUAUAUACACAUACAAUAAAUAUCAAAAUUAUAAAUUUAAUCAUAAAAUACUAACAAACAUGAAAAACCCAAAAUUAUAGGGUCUAAAAUAACAUAAAAUGUUUGCAAACAUAGAAUAACCAAAGUGCAAAAUUCUAAAAUAACAACAACAAAAAAAGCCUAUCAAUGGAUCAAACCUUCUAAAAAUCUAAAAUUUAAAAAAGUAAAAAUUACAACAAAAAAUUGGGUUUGAUUUUACCCGAACCAAUUUUAAUUUUAUCCAAUACCCAAUUUAAGUGCCUAUUAUUUUUGUUUUGAAAACCAAGAUCAUCAAUCACUUAACCAAAACUGUUUUUUAGAUCGGUUCUGAUCGAUUUUAUCGACUAGGUCGAUUUUACUCAAUUUAUAAAUACUCUACUUAUUCAAUGGUGUUUUUUCUCUUACCUUUAAUAUUUGCAAAUAUACAAAAAUAUAUGUCUCAAUUCAUUAAUUCAAAAUAUAAAAUACACUUUAAAAUUACCUAAUUCGAUAAAAAAAAAUUUAAAAUGCUUUGGAGUAGAACAAGAAAGAAAAAAAAUUGUUGAAUUGAGCUAAAAUCCAAUAGGAUUUUCCGAUGUACUUAGUCCGGAAAAUAUUAUGUAUAAGAACUCUGACAAUUCCUAGAAUAUUAACUUAGAAACUAUAUAGUAUAAGAUAUCAAUAUUACUUGAAAUAUUUACUAAUAAAGUAUAUAUAAGAUCACAAUUUUAUAUAUUUUCCACUAAUUGUUAUUAUUUUUAUAUCUAAGAUCCCAAUACUUAUAUUUUCCAACAUGGCCCUUUGCAUAUAUUUUACUUUAUUUUCUUUACAUAUAUUGUAUAUUACCUAAUGUGAAUAGUAAUAGUAGUAGCUCCUAGUACUAUAUAGCCAACAGCCAUGAAGUCACCUCAAGAAUGGGAAAAUGGAUCUCAUCUGUACCAUGUGAUUCAAAUCUCAUUAGUCGUGAAUGAGUGAUGCCAUGUGCCCCGGAAUUCUUCAAAUGGGAACGUGAUAAAUGUUUUCCUUUUUAUGAAAAUAUAUUUUCUCUAAUCAACCAGUUAUGAUUAUGACUUAUGAGCCAAAGACAAAUACUAGUACCAUAAUACUACUUUGAGAUUAUCACAGUUUUCUAUUUUUAUCAGUGAAUUAUUAAUUCUAAUUUGAACUAAAUAUAUUUUUAUUUCUUUUAAAAUUAUUAAUCUUUUAAUUUUAGUCUCUAAAAAAAGUAGUUAUUUUUAAUUUUUAUUUUUAUUUUAUAGAGACUUUUUGUAUAGAUUAAAAAUAUCAAUUUAUUAUAAAAGUUUUUCAAAAUAGAAAUUUAAAGUGGAAUAAUUUUUUUAGGAACUAUUAAUUUUAGAAUUCUUUUAUAAAAAUUGUAAAUAAAAUGUUGAAAUUUUACGGAGACUAAAAUUUAUUUAACCAUUUUAAUUUUUAUAUCAAAGUUUUAUGUUUGCAUAAUAAAAAACUUCAUCAAUUUUUAAUUUUUAAUUUGUUUACAACAGUUUUACAUUUUAUUUAUUGUAUAUAUUUUUAGUAUUAAACAUUGAUCCUUUAUUCAAUUCUCUAUACUUAUUUAUCUUUCAACAGUUUUGUUAUUGAUCAUUAUAAUUGAUUUUUCAUAGAUACUUUUUUGAAAAGGAUUUUUCAUAUUUUAUCAUGGAAAUUAUAUCUCUCAAAUUAUCUGUUUAUAAUAGAUUAAAAGAUUAAAUAAAUAAAAAUGUAAAGUUAAUGAUUAAGACAAUAUUAAUCAAAACUUAAUAUAUAGUACAACUAAAAAUUAUAUGAUUGAUUUUAAAUAUUUUCUUACAUUUGAUUAUUGUGGAAAAUACUUAAUAGAACAAUUUAUAUUUGAUCCUCAAGUCAUAGUUCAACUGACAAAUGUUGAAAUUGUUAGAUUGAACAUUAUAUUUUGAAAAACUCGAACUCAAAUUAAUAAUGGUUAUAUUUUCAUCUCUUUUAAUAUUACAGUUAUUGUUAAUUAAAUUUUUUACAAAAUUUCUUCUUCUUUUUUGGUACAGUUGUAUGACAAGAUUUCUAUUAAAAUUAUAUAGAUACGCAAAUUUUGAAAUUAAAAUAAUAUGUUUUCCAUUUAGUAUUUGGACCACCACUUCUUAGCUAGUGUGAAACAAUUUACUGGUUGAUCAUAAACAUCAAUAUAAAAUAGCAAAUGCGAAAUAUAAGAACGAGAGAUAAACCCUCCCCAACAAGUUGAUUGAUUAAUGAAAAGUUAAAAGAGAUCGAAUAGCCUUCAACUAUUUUUAGUGGUCAACUCUAUAUAAUAUAAUAAAUAUAACUAGUUUGUAAAUCUAUAAAUUGUUAUAUUAGUUUAUUUAUAUAUAUAUAUAUCAAAUUUCAUAAAUUUUAUUAACAUUAAAAAAAUAAAUUGACUUAAAAAAAUAAUUUACAAUAAAAAAAUUAAAAAAAAAUUAAUUAUAACUUAACUUAAAAACUACUUUCUUACGUGCUCAAUGUUAUUGAUGAAAAGUAUGACUCCAACCCCAUGCCUUAUUUUUGAAUUCUACAAAGAAUCUUUUUUCUUUCCAAAAAAUUUAUUAUAAAACAAUACUUUUAAUUUUAAACAAAUAAAAACAAUAAUUAUUAAAAAAAAAUUAAAUAAUUAGAUUAGAUGAAAUAAGAAUUUUUAAAAUAAUAGACAUGGACAUAUAUAAAAUAAGUAAAUUAGUAAAUGUAAAGAUGAGUAAGUAACUUAAUAAUGAAUUUUUAGUUUUAUUAUUCAACCUAUGUUAUUUAUAUGAAAUACAUGACAUUUAAGAAUUCAUAUAAAUUUGGCCGUAUCAAGUGGCAAAAUAUCUUUCAUUUUAGUACUACUCACAAAAUACUAAAAGAAAAAUAAAUUUCCGUUACAAACAAAAAAUUACAAUACACAUAAAAACUAUGAGUAUCUUUUAUCUUUGAAUUUGCAUGUUAGUCUUAAUUUGAAUUUGCGUGAUAUUUAAUAAUAAAUUUAGAAUAUAAAAUGUAUAGUAUAGUAGUUUUGUUUGAAGUUUGAAAAACCAUUACUUUCAAUGAAUAGAUGAAAUGAAUUGUUUCUUUAAUUCCUACAUAAAGUGCCAAUAUCAUUUAUUUAUUAGACAACUUACAAUCAAAAUUAUUAGGACGGGCAAUAGCUAUUUAAGAGAGAAUUUAAAAUCAAAAUACUUAGAACAAUUUAUACUUAAUCCUCAAGUCAUAGUUCAACUGACAAAUGUUGAUAUUGUUAGAUUGAAAAUUAUAUUUUGAAGAACUCGAACUCUCCUAAUGUAAAUUAAUAAUGGUUAUAUUUUCAUCUCUUUUAAGAAGAAGAAAAAAAAGAACAAUUUUUAGUUUAUAGCCAAUAGGAAUCAAUUGUUCAAUAUUAUGGAUUUAUGUUAAUAUUACAAUUAUUGUUAAUUAAAUUUUUUACAAAAUUUCUUCUUCUUUUUUGGUACAGUUGUAUGACAAGAUUUCUAUUAAAAUUAUAUAAAUACGCAAAUUUUGAAAUUAAAAUAAUAUGUUUUCCAUUUAAAUUAAAAUUAUAUAGAUACGCAAAUUUUGAAAUUAAAAUAAUAUGUUUUUCAUUUAGUAUUUGGACCACCACUUCCUAGCUAGUGUGAAACAAUUUACUGGUUGAUCAUAAACAUCAAUAUAAAAUAGCAACUGAUGCGAAAUAUAAGAACGAGAGAUAAACCCUCUCCAACAAGUUGAUUGAUUAAUGAAAAGUUAAAAAAGAUCGAAUAGCCUUCAACUAUUUUUAGUGGUCAACUCUAUAUAAUAUAAUAAAUAUAAUUAAGCUAAAAAAACUGCAUGUUAAUUUCUUUGAGUUAAGUGGUUGUCUGUUUGACUGAAUCCAUAUGGCACUAAAAUAAGUUGGGUGGUCAAAUAAAUGACUGUGGCUUCAGUUCACACAUAAAUUUAGAAGUUUCUUAACUCGAAUUGAUUCCAACACCUGAAUGCUGCGCUUUAUUUCUAAAAUGGAAGUCAUUCCCUACAUAAGAAAUAUUAGCGGUUGGAUAUAAUAUAAAGGAAUGUUUAUUAUGAUUAUAAAAAUUUGAUUUCAUAAUUUGGACUUGUUUGUUUAAGAUUUUAAAAAAUUAAUUUUUAUUUUAUAAUUUUAAAAUUAUUUCAGAGUAAAAGUUAUUUUGAAAAAUAAAAUUUAAUAAUAAAAAGUAAAAGUUAUUUUGAAAGUAAAAAAUAUCAAAAUGAUUUUGAGGCUUGAUGAAUUAGCAAUUGUUGCAUCAUAGUGGUGUCCAAUUGGACCCCAAUGUAGUGGUUUUGCUUUUUGCAACUGAAGAUUCUCAAUUUAUCUUUUCAAUUUAUCAUCGUUUGUUGAGUUUAAAGGUACGUUUGGUUCAAUAAAUUAGAGAAAAUAAGAAGCAAAGAUAUCUUUGGUUCAAUAAAUAGAAGAUGACGAGUUUUAAAUAGUUUUUUUUUUGUUUGUUUCAAAGAAAUAUAGAGAUUUUAAAUUAUUUUUAAGUUACACCGGCUCUCUUCCAUCUCUUUCAAUUUCCUACAAAAUAGAGUAAGAGCAAAAAAAAUAUUUAAGGAGUGAUUUUGUUCAUCUAUCCUCCAACCUAGGGAUGACAAUUUGACCCAUAUUCAAUGGAUACCCGCAAAAAAACACACAAUAGAUAGGGUAAAAACCCGCAUAAUGAGUAUGGGCGCGGGGAUGAGUAAUUAUCUACAAAAUUAAGCGGGUAUGGGUGCAGGUACGAGUACUAUAGUACUCACCCCGUCCACACCCGCACUUAUAUAAAUAUAUUAUUUAAUUAUUUAUUAUAUUAGUGUUUAGUUUAAUUAAUUAUUUUCUUUUAUGUUUUAACAUCUAUUAAUAUCAUUGAACCACUACAAUAUUUAUAACUGAAAGAUAAACGUUUGCAAACUUUUUAAUAAUUUGAUUAUGAUGAAUAUGUAAAUAAUUGUGACCUUAUAAUUAAGAGUUAUGUCUUAUUAAUCGUGACUUUAUAAUUAUACUUGCAAUUUUCUAUCAAUUGUUUUUACAGAUCUCAAAUAAUAUUGUCGUAAGAUUUGCAACUUCAUAAAUUAUUAUUAUGAAUAUUAUAAUGUGUAUUGUAACGAGUGUUUAUAAUAAAUGUUUUGAGUUAGAAAAUAUUUUAGUUUAUAAUACUUUAUGAUUGAAGUUAAAAUAUUUGAGUAAUUUUUAAAUUUAAUCGCAACAAUAUCAUUUAUUUAUCGAUAUAUUUUAGUUAAAGCAUGGGUAAUGGAUAUGAGUACGGGCACUUAGGUACUCAUAUGGCAAUGGUACGGAUAUUAAAAUUGAUACCCAAGAGAAUACGAACACGAAUAUGUGUAUUUUUUCAAAUUGCAGGUAUCGAAACGAGUACUAUAGUACCUUACCCAAAUCCUACUCAUUGUGAUCCCUCCAAAUAUACUCUGAGCAAUUAUGCUUGUAGAGUUUUAGUGAGAGCUGAACCACAUAACAAUUUUGGAAAGUUUAAUAUGAGGGACCUUUUGAACAUUUUACUAUUAUCAAUUAUAAAAUACACAAUAAACUGAUAUAAUAUAUCACUAUCGAAUUAAAUACAUUUGGUGGGUGUAGAGUUGGUCCCGAUAAGAGAUAAAUUGGUCCUAAGAAGAGAAAAAUAAUGAUAAAAUAAAAGGCAAAAUUAUAUAAAUAUAAGGUAUAGGUGUCAAAAGUUGUGUCUAAAUAUCAUUUAUAUACUAUUAAAAACAUAAAUUUUAAGUUAUAGUCAAUGGUGAGAUAUCCAUAUUCACAUGUGAAAACAAAUGUUUACAUCAUCAUCUUUAUUCAAGCCAAGGGAGCCCCUUUUAGGAUAGCCACUGGGUAGUUUUGGAUAAGUGUAAUGUUUUUCCUUCUUUGUUUUCCUACUGCAUUAUAUAUGUGUCAUCUUUUUGUUGGUUUGGUUCAUUUCAAGCAUUGAAUCCAACCCCUUUUUCUACUACAGUGGUCUCAAUAAGAUAUUUGUGAAUCAUCAUCAAUCAUUGGGUAUAAUGUGAUAGAUAGACAUGUGUUUGUCUCUAAGCACGCAAAUGCAUAUGUGUGUCCAUGCAAUGUACAAGAGGAUUUAUGCGUCGUUAGUAUAGUUUCCAUCUUAAACAUGUGACAAAGUCGUAAAAAUGUUUUAAGGUCUUGAUACAUGCUUUUGGUCUACUAAACCUAAAAGAUUUGGUUUUGCAACAAGUCUCAGUGGGUUGCACCCAAAACUUCUUUCUCAACUUAUAAUUUCUAUCUAUCGGAUCCUUAUGUUUUAUUCGCUCAUUUUAUAACUCUAGUUUGAGAUGCUCUGAACCUUUCAUUAGUCCUUUUAUUAUAUUAUGUUCACCUAUACAUGAGUCUGAAAUGUCAAUGUAAAACAUUCUAAUUUAUCUUUAUAAAUUAUUUAAAAAAAUUGAGGGGUCUAUAUCCCGAAAAUAACCAUAUUUUCUUAAACAAAACAAAUCACUUAUGUUUUAUAACAAAAUAGUUAUAUAAACCCUUUUGUGGUAUUUUCGACUUUUGAUGUAUAUUCUCUCAUUUAAUUGUAUAUUUUUAAUCUUUGUUGUCAUUUUUUUACUGUAUUAUUAUAUUUGAGAGUUUGUACCUUGCACAAUAAACUUGCUUACGAAUAAAUUAAGUAAAUCCGUAGACACUGCAUCUCCUAUUAUGCGUAUCUCUAGAAGCCUCAAAUUCAUGUCUCCUUUCUCAUAUCUGUUAUUGGGCAUGGCCAAGCAGCCAUUCACCCCUCCUUUGAUUUUUCUAUUCUCUUUCACCAUUCUAUUCAAACAAACAUUGUAUAAUAAUUAUGCAUCAUAAUGAAAUCAAAAUAGAUACAACAUAAACAUAUGAAUUUUGACUAAGGUGUAGAAAGUAUUGAGAUUAAGGAUAUUACGCCAUCACUUGUCAUAAUACUUUUCAUGAUGCAAUGUCCUUUCUUUAUUAACACCACAUGUGAAAUAGAAAUGACACGAGUAACUUUUGUAUCAUCAAAAACGAAAUCAACCAUGUAAAAUAAUUGUUUGCAAAACCACUUUUGUUUUGUGUCUAACAUUUGGGAAGAAAAUGUAUCCUAUAUCCGUCCAAACUAAUUACUCCCUUCUAUUCUUAUUUAUAAAAAAAAAAAAGUUAAUCAACAAAAAUCGAUGUAUUUGAUCUAAAAUUUAAUCAAAUACAUCAACUUUUAUAGAUUUAUUUUUCUUGUAAAUAAGAAUACAGAGAGUAUGUGAUAUUUGAAUGUCUAGCAAUUGAAGAGAGAAGGAGAACAACAACUAUUAGAAAUUGACAAAUUCCAAUGACUACACAUGUUUGUUUUGUUCAAUGGUUGGAAUGGGAGAAAUUUAAUAAAUAAGAGGGGAUGAGAGGGAAGAAUAAUAGAGAUAUAUUUGUUCAAAAAAGAAAAUAGAUGAAUUUUUAAUUUAAUUUAAGUUUGAUUCAAGCGGAGAUAAGAGAUUUUAAAUAGAUUAUAAAUUAUUUCAAUCUCAUUUUCUCUUCUCUCCCUCCAAAUCCCUCCAAAAUGAAUGGGGAAAAGAGAGACUUAAGAGAUUUUGUGUUCCCUUCACCUUUUCUUCCAUUAAAAUAAUUGAACCAAACAACUUAAAUUUAAAAUAAUAUAUCUCCUCUUAUUUGUUCCUCUCCAAUCCCAUCUAAUCAAACAUACACAAUUUGUUGUUAUCAUCAUUCAAUCUCAUAGGAGCUUUUCACUUGUCUAAUGGUGGUGAGAUAUUCAGAAUAAUAGAAGUAGAACGAUGGGGUGGGAUUUAGUGUAGAAAAUUUCAUAUAACAUCUUAUUGAACUCUUUAAACCAACAAUUGAUUAAAAUUGUGCACAUUAGUCAACAUGUAAUGAUAUUAGGAUAGUCCAUCACAAGAGUCGUCUAAAUUAUUGUUCAUACUAAAAAUUAUUAUAAGUGGUUAGUCGAAAAUGACUAAUAGUUGAAUGUGGUUUAACCGAUGCUCGGGUAGCUGAAUGCAAGUUAGACACGGAUUAAAUAUAAGUUAGACGAAUUUUUAUCAAAUCCAAGAAGUCCCAAGAGGUCUGUCGGAUUGGCAUAAGCUAUCAAAAGCAUGUGAAAAUUGAUAAUUCAACCGCAUGACUCAUAUUCCAUGUUUUUAGACACUAUAACUGAUGUGAGUUUCACGGAGGCAGAAAGUGGAAAGAAUGUGGAUUGAAGGAACUGUCGCGUCGUAAAAUGGAGAGAGAUCAAGGAAAAAUGUGGAACGCCACAAACACCCAGUAACAUACAUAAACACAUCACUUGCGAGAUUAGUCUAUUGAGGCAAAUUAUGAUUAAAUUUUGUAGGUUGUGAUAUAUUGGUUAGUAAGACUAGCUUUGUUUAUAAAUACACAUCGUAUAUUCAAUUGUAAACAUACAUAAACAAUUAAAAUUAUCAUUUUUCUCGCAAUUUAUCCUUUUAUCUUUCUGCUUUGUGUUUUCAUUAGUUUAGUAGCUCUUAAAAAAUCUAACUUCAUACUUAGCACUAUUUGGAAAGUUACAGAAUCCAUAGUCAAAAGAUAAAGUUGAUCCCUUAAAAAGAAAGAGAAUCAUUUGAAAGUUAAUAGUCGAUUCUUCGACUAACUUUUAAUUUUAACAACAAACUAAUUUGACAUGUCCGCUAAGACACAGCAACAAAUAUUUUUGUAUCUUUUUUUUUAUAAUAUAGAUUUUUAUAAGAGUUUAUAAUAUAGAAUAUACGCUAUAUUUUUGUAUCUCUUUUUUUUAUAAUAUAGAUUUUUUAUUUCAUUUGUAUAUAAUAUGUGUAUAUUAUUAUAUUUUUCAUAUUAUAAUCUAUCACAAUCAAUAACAAAAGCCUUUUUUUUUUACUUAUAUACAAAAGCCUUAUUUAAAAUUAGAACUAUAUUAUUUUUAUAUUAAUCAAUAUUUUUUUGAAAGAUAUUGAUAAAAUAUAUAAUUUUUUUAAAUAAGCAUUUUUUUUAUAUUGCAGUAUAAUGAAUUAUACUAUAUUAAACAAAACUACAAUGAACUACCAUUUUAUUGAAUCGUGAAUAUAUUAUAAGAAAUAAAUAAUUAUUUUUAAAUAUGUACUACUUUAUUUUUAGAGAAAAGUAAAUAUUUUGCAGUUGUUUUUAAAUUUUGUUAUCAAAUUAAUAUAGAAAGAAAAUUAAUUUAUUUUGAAAUACAUAUUUAUUUGUUUUCUAGUGACACAUAUUUCAAAUUAAUGUCUGUAAAAUCUUUUUAAUUGUAUGAAGUAGUAUAGAUAUAAAAAGAUCCACCUAGAUGUGUAAUAUAUAUUUCUUUGUAGUCACGUCACAAGUUUAAUUCCUAGUGGGAGUAUAUGUGGAAGAAUAUUUAUUGGGAAAUAUUAACCUCUAGAUUUUGCUAUUUUGAAUUAUUAGUCUUCGAUUUUUAUUAGAAAAUGCAUUGAACAGCAAAAAGGAAUGUCUGCUAUCUUUUAGAAAAUAGGAAAAUACUUAUAAUUGAUAAAAUGAAAAUAGUUAUUACGAACAAAAAGAUGAUUCCAUCAAAUAGAAAAAUAAUAAUAUUGAUUUAAUACAGUCAAAAGCAAACCCCGUAGAUAUACAUACGUGAGUGGUUUUGAGGCAAAAUCUUUUGAAGAUUACUUACUAUUCGACUGCGUGAUUAGUAAGGUAAGGUUAAGGUGUGUGUUAGUAGUGUCUUAUAACUGAAAACAAAACUCACAAAACUUUUGUAAGCAAAAAUAGCCGGCCAAGCCAACACAACAACAAACAAUAGCGUCUUCCCUCUUCCUAAGUAACUUUCUUUCAUCCCAUUCCCAAACAACACCUAACCCCUCUAAUAUCCAUCCCUUCAAAUAAAUAAAUAAAUAAAAUAAAAAUAAAAAAACAAAUUCUGACAUAUAUCCGAGAAUAAUGCUCUAACAUACUCUUCCAUUAUUUCUAUUUUCUAUUUUCCAUUUCCAUUUCCAUUUUGUUUCAUCUUCUUACACCUUCAUCACUUCUUCUAUAACAAACAACCAAAACCCUCUUCUUAUUCUUCUUUUUCACACUUCAAAACCUACCAAUCCCGUAUAACAGAAUAACAAAAAAAAAGAAAAAAAAACCUAAAAACUUAUUCU
RNAcentral lists this long non-coding RNA (32973 nucleotides) under Cicer arietinum (chickpea). RNAcentral describes it as "long non-coding RNA (CARI_LNC003348)". The record is from RNAcentral. Lineage: Eukaryota; Viridiplantae; Streptophyta; Magnoliopsida; Fabales; Fabaceae.